Molecule: non-coding RNA, 1262 nt
Organism: Misgurnus anguillicaudatus (oriental weatherfish)
Lineage: Eukaryota; Metazoa; Chordata; Actinopteri; Cypriniformes; Cobitidae
Source: RefSeq, a predicted model, not a curated record
GGAAUGUCAUGACAGACCUUCAAAGAACAAGCGGGCUAGCGAAGAGGAGGAGCGUAUUGGGGAUGAAGAGGACAUAGUACCACACUCUAAGAAAAAGACAGCUGCUGAAUUUAGAAAACACCUGGACGAAUAGAUGUGGGAGAGAAGGAAACUCAACCAAAUGCAAAUCAAUUUGCAGGAGUUGAGAAAUGAGGUCCAAUCUCUUAAAAAUGAAAAUGCACGUCUGAAAGACAUUAUAAUCAAUCAAAUCCCUCAAAUGAAAAGUGACCUCGCCAUUAUUGCUCAAAAGACUGGAAGGACUCCUGUGGAGGAUCUUGAUUCCUCCUCCUCGGCUUUUGGAGAAUUGCAACCGACUCCAGAGAGGAGACCAAGUCCCGAGGAGACUGAGCCCUUUAAAGAGAGUCCCAUGGUAACAGAGUCCUUUCGAGAGACACCAGAGGUGUGUGUUACGCUUUUAUGCCUCCGUUUUUUCGGUACUUAUUUUACUUAAGGCUCCAACUGAGCUAUAGGGAUUUUUUUUGUUUGGAUAGUAGUGGUAAUAUGUAAUUUACUUACCCCAUAUGCAUAAAAUUGUUAAAGAGUUUAACAAAGUUUUUUUUCUCUAACAAGACUGCAGCAACCGCUGAGACCUCAGCGAAAACACAGAUUGAAGUCAUAAAGGGCUCUGGGGUGUUUUGCCAGGCAGAAGCGUGGAAAGCAGCCCGCCUUGCCAACUCUGCUACUGCCAUGGUGCGGAAUCUGCUGCUGGGCACCUUUGAUAUGGAGACUUUGCUGAAAAGCAACCUGAAUGGUGGGAAGCCAACCAGAGGGGAUGGGGAGCAGCUGGUCGCCCUUGACAAAAUUAAAAAGGCAGCCAUUAUUGGCAACAAUGGAGACUGCAUAAGAUGCUACAUUGAAGAAGUGGCCGGCAGCCAGCCGAGGGCAGAUAGGCACAUCUAUUAAUGCGAAGCUCACGGAGCUGAGAAGAGCAACAAGAUAAUUUUUUUAUGUAUAAUUUUUGUUUAGUUUUUUUGUCUUAUUUUUGUUCUUGUACUAUAUUUUUGUUCUUGUACUAUUUGAUUGUUCUUGAGUAAAUACAUAAUGUACAUUUCUAUAUUUUGGACUUUUAUUUAUGUUACCUAGCAGAUUUUUAUCUUAUUUUUGUUCUUGUACUAUAUUUUUGGUACGAUUUCAUUGAUUUAAAGUAAAUAAAUAAUGUUAAUUUCUAAAUUUUUGGACUUUUAUUUAUGUUGCCUAGCAGCUAUGGAUUUUAAUUUUACUAU